Molecule: ribosomal RNA, 467 nt
Filed under: uncultured bacterium
Lineage: Bacteria
Description: partial 16S ribosomal RNA
Rfam family: Bacterial small subunit ribosomal RNA
Source: RNAcentral
GACGAACGCUGGCGGCGUGCUUAACACAUGCAAGUCGAACGGAAAGGCCCUGCUUUUGUGGGGUGCUCGAGUGGCGAACUGGUGAGUAACACGUGAGUAACCUGCCCUUGACUUUGGGAUAACUUCAGGAAACUGGGGCUAAUACCGGAUAGGAGCUCCUGCUGCAUGGUGGGGGUUGGAAAGUUUCGGCGGUUGGGGAUGGACUCGCGGCUUAUCAGCUUGUUGGUGGGGUAGUGGCUUACCAAGGCUUUGACGGGUAGCCGGCCUGAGAGGGUGACCGGCCACAUGGGGACUGAGAUACGGCCCAGACUCCUACGGGAGGCAGCAGUGGGGAAUAUUGCACAAUGGGCGGAAGCCUGAUGCAGCAACGCCGCGUGCGGGAUGACGGCCUUCGGGUUGUAAACCGCUUUCGCCUGUGACGAAGCGUGAGUGACGGUAAUGGGUAAAGAAGCACCGGCUAACUACGU